GAUGAACGCUGGCGGCGUGCCUAAUACAUGCAAGUCGAGCGAACGGACGAGAAGCUUGCUUCUCUGAUGUUAGCGGCGGACGGGUGAGUAACACGUGGCUAACCUACAUAUAAGACUGGGACAACUUCGGGAAACCGGAGCUAAUACCGGAUAAUAUUUUGAACCGCAUGGUUCAAAAGUGAAAGACGGUCUUGCUGUCACUUAUAGAUGGAUCCGCGGUGCAUUAGCUAGUUGGUAAGGUAACGGCUUACCAAGGCAACGAUGGAUAGCCGGCAUGAGAGGGUGACCAGGCACAAUGGGACUGAGACACGAGCAAGAGUGAUACGGGGGGAAGCAGUGGGGAAUAGUGCAAAAUGGGAGGAAGGGUGAAGCAGCGACGCAGCGUGAGAGAUGACGGCCUUCGGGUUGUAAACGUCUUUAAGGAGGGAAGAAGAGAAAGUGACGGUACCUGCAGAAGAAGCAACGGCUAACUACGUG
This 477-nucleotide ribosomal RNA is filed under the name uncultured bacterium. Its description in RNAcentral is "partial 16S ribosomal RNA". It matches the Rfam family "Bacterial small subunit ribosomal RNA", at positions 28 to 507 of the family's 1533-position model. The record is from RNAcentral.